UUGAAAAAGAAGUCCCUAGUUC
RNAcentral lists this microRNA (22 nucleotides) under Anolis carolinensis (green anole). RNAcentral describes it as "aca-miR-5455-5p". The record is from miRBase by way of RNAcentral. Lineage: Eukaryota; Metazoa; Chordata; Lepidosauria; Squamata; Anolidae.